AGGACAAAUAUUUAUUCUUAUUUGCCGUGUUCCUUUUUUUUUUUUUUCAAUUUUUUGGCAUUUUUUGAUACUAAAAUAAAAUCGAACCCGAUGGAGCGAUGCUUUCCAGCGUGGAUGCACACAGUAAAAGAAGAAAAGCGAGGAAAAGGG
This 150-nucleotide non-coding RNA is filed under the name Partenskyella glossopodia. The record is from RNAcentral. Lineage: Eukaryota; Cercozoa; Chlorarachniophyceae.